This 142-nucleotide ribosomal RNA is filed under the name uncultured cyanobacterium. RNAcentral describes it as "partial 23S ribosomal RNA". It matches the Rfam family "Bacterial large subunit ribosomal RNA", at positions 1 to 142 of the family's 2925-position model. Lineage: Bacteria; Bacillati; Cyanobacteriota. The record is from RNAcentral.
GGUCAAGCUACAAAGGGCUCACGGUGGAUACCUUGGCACACAGAGGCGAUGAAGGACGUGGUUACCUGCGAUAAGUCUCGGGGAGCUGGAAGCACGCUUUGAUCCGGGAAUUUCCGAAUGGGGCAACCCCUAGUACGGUCAG